RNAcentral lists this ribosomal RNA (484 nucleotides) under uncultured bacterium. RNAcentral describes it as "partial 16S ribosomal RNA". It matches the Rfam family "Bacterial small subunit ribosomal RNA", at positions 30 to 507 of the family's 1533-position model. The record is from RNAcentral.
AUUGAACGCUGGCGGCAUGCCUAACACAUGCAAGUCGAGCGGAUGAAGGGAGCUUGCUCCUGGAUUCAGCGGCGGACGGGUGAGUAAUGCCUAGGAAUCUGCCUGGUAUUGGGGGAUAACGUCCGGAAACGGGCGCUAAUACCGCAUACGUCCUGAGUGUGAAAGUGGGGGAUCUUCGGACCACACGCUAUCAGAUGAGCCUAGGUCGUAUUAGCUAGUUGGUGUGGUAAAGGCCUACCAAGGCGACGAUCCGUAACUGGUCUGAGAGGAUGAUCAGUCACACUGGAACUGAGACACGGUCCAGACUCCUACGGGAGGCAGCAGUGGGGAAUCUUGGACAAUGGGCGAAAGCCUGAUCCAGCAAUGCCGCGUGUGUGAAGAAGGUCUUCGGAUUGUAAAGCACUUUAAGUUGGGAGGAAGGUCAGUAAGUUAAUACCUUGCUGUUUUGACGUUACCAACAGAAUAAGCACCGGCUAACUUCGUG